Molecule: long non-coding RNA, 438 nt
Organism: Sarcophilus harrisii (Tasmanian devil)
Lineage: Eukaryota; Metazoa; Chordata; Mammalia; Dasyuromorphia; Dasyuridae
Exons: 2
Source: RefSeq, a predicted model, not a curated record
UUCACAGCAACUCCAAGCCCCUCCCUUCCCUGCUUGGUAAUCAUGGCUUCUGUCUCCACCAAGGAGCUUUCUGCGCAAACUUCCCAGUUUGCAAAGGGAGGAGAGAAGGCUGAAAGCCCAGCACCCUCAAGGAAGUUGCUCCGGCAAAUAAAUGAAGUGACCCCAAUGGCAGAAGGCAAAAACGACGCUCAAUGGCACUACUAGCUCACGUUCUAGAGAGCCUCGCUCCAGGAUCAGCCCCGCCCUGCGCCCGGCUAGCAACUCUGCCCAUGGAAUCUACAGCAAUGCCGGAGGGUGCGCGCCAAGAGGGGAUGCGCAGCAGUUUUCACAGCCUAAGAAUUUCGAGCCUGGAAAUUAAACGGGGAUUGAUCUUCAUUUGACCCUUUUGGGUUUGAGGCUAAUUUGCAGCGCUCCCCAAGGGUCUCGUUAUUUGGGUGC